CGACUCUUGACAAUGGAUAUCCUGGCUCUCGUAUCAAUG
Molecule: ribosomal RNA, 39 nt
Filed under: Olea europaea subsp. europaea
Lineage: Eukaryota; Viridiplantae; Streptophyta; Magnoliopsida; Lamiales; Oleaceae
Description: partial 5.8S ribosomal RNA
Source: RNAcentral